RNAcentral lists this ribosomal RNA (437 nucleotides) under Bragasellus lagari. Its description in RNAcentral is "partial 16S ribosomal RNA". It matches the Rfam family "Bacterial large subunit ribosomal RNA", at positions 1883 to 2559 of the family's 2925-position model. The record is from RNAcentral. Lineage: Eukaryota; Metazoa; Arthropoda; Malacostraca; Isopoda; Asellidae.
CUCUUAGAAUUUUUUAAGUAAUCUCUGCCCUAUGAUUUAUUAAAUGGCCGCAGUAUUUUGACUGUGCAAAGGUAGCAUAAUCACUUGUUUUUUAAUUGAAAACUGGAAUGAAAGAGUCGACGAAAAGUAGCCUUUUGAUUGGUGUAGUUAAAUUGACAUAAGAGUAAAAAGGCUCUGGUAGAUCAGAGGGACGAUAAGACCCUAUAAAACUUUACUUUAAAACUUUAUCCCUAAGGGCGGAGAGAGGGAAAGGUUGAACUGGGGCGGUAUUUAUAAAAACUGUAGAAAAGAAAAUAUGGAUAAUAGGUUUGAAGAACUUUACGGAAAAAAUUGAACAAGUUACUUUAGGGAUAACAGCAUAAUCUUCCUAGAGAGCCCGUAUCGGCAGGAAAGUUUAUGACCUCGAUGUUGAAUUGAAAAUUCCUUGUGUAAGCAGA